This 2136-nucleotide long non-coding RNA is filed under the name Homo sapiens (human). RNAcentral describes it as "HSALNT0332859". Lineage: Eukaryota; Metazoa; Chordata; Mammalia; Primates; Hominidae. The record is from RNAcentral.
GCCCUAGUAGUCGGUGGCUGGUCGGUGACUGGGACCAGACCGUCGCCUCCUCCCUUUUACAGCUUUAAGUCUGUGACCCGAGGCCUCUCUGUAUAUUCCCGUGGGGUUGGGCCUAGUUGUCCUGGGAGAAACUAGAUGGAUGAGGAGUAUUUCCGAGACAGGUCCCAGGGCCAGCGCAGCCUUUUCUGUUGCAGAACCGCGACUGUUGUUUUGGGAUCCAGGCCGGAGGGUUUGUUGCUUGUGUUCAUUCCAGUUAACCAUUAGUACUCGAGAAGGUGGUACAGAACGCAUCUAUCCCCUUAGAAGAAAAGAAAUUAAAAGCCAAACUAAACUGGGAUAUAUAUUAAUAUAGGAAACUACCACUGAGACAUAGGAAAGUGUAUUAAAAUAUAACUAGUGAGGUGCUAUGUAUAAUUCAGAGGAAGGGGAAAUUAUGCAUGGGCCAGACUACUAACAAAAGGCUCCAAAGCCUGGGAUACGCUGAGGGCCUUUCCAUAACAGAAAAUGAAAAGGAACCUAAAUUUGAGACUAGAUUUGAGGAAAGGCACAGUUGCGCUGGAGUAGAAAGCGUCUGUCUACCGCAGUGGAAAGUAAGUUUUCGUAAAUGCAGACUAGCUCCAGGGUGAGGACAGAAUCUAGCUUUUAAAUCAGUAUAAUCUCUCUUCUUUUACAUUUGAAAAUCUCUGCAGCGAUAUGUUAUUGUAUCCCCAGCACCAUACAAAGGACAUACAAGGGCCAAAUACUGUGGGAAUAUUUAUUAAUGAUAUUAAUGAUGAUGCUGUCCGGGCCAAAGGAAAACUUCCGCUUCACCUUCUGAAGUUUCGCUGAAAGUCACUGACAGGAGGCAGUUAAUAGGAGAAAAGACAUAGACAUUGAUUUGACCAUCGUUUUAUGUGACACGGGAGCCUUCAGAAUGAAGACCCAAAGAUAACAAGGGAAAUCGUGUAUUUGUAUGCUUAGGUUCAACAAAGCAUGGACAGCCGUAUAAAAAAAUGACUGGACAAGGCCGGGCGCGGUGGCUCACGCCUGUAAUCUCAGCACUUUGGGAGGCUGAGGCGGGCGGAUCACAAGGUCAGGAGAUCGAGACCAUCCUGGCUAACACAGUGAAACCCCGUCUCUACUAAAAAUACUAAAAAUUAGCCAGGCGUGGUGGCGGGCGCCUGUAGUCCCAGCUACUCAGGAGGCUGAGGCAGGAGAAUGGCGUGAACCCGGGAGGCGGAGCUUGCAGUGAGCCGAGAUUGCGUCACCGCACUCCAGCCUGGGCGACAGAGCGAGACUCCGUCUCAAAAAAAAUGACUGGACAAAAAACACUCUGAUGCAAACAGGCAAGAAACCCAGCAAGGCCUAUCUGGAUUCUCCUUGGCCUGUCUGCAGCAUUCAUUCCUUCUGGGUAUGGAACAGGACCCUCUGGAAUGGGGGCUGUGGCCUACAACAGUUAAACAAGUGAACUAAAGGGCUCCCAAAAUCUCUCCUGCAGCAUUUUCCUUGAGAAGGAGGAAGGUUUGCAUCUCUGUGAGAAGAAACAUCAGAAGCAGUUGAAAGACCAGGAUGUGGGUCCUCUGGGGCUGAGGAGGCAUUCUGAAUCAACUGUGUGUUCUACACCUGUGUUUUAACUGUGACCUGUCACAUGAGGACAAGUGUGGAAUUUCCCACUUUUGUGCCAUAAAUCUCUCUCUGGGAACAGUGUGGAAGAUGGAUUGAAAUGGUGUAAAAUUGAAGAUGUGGACUCCGGUUGGGAGACUACACCCUAGAUAAGAUGAAGAGAACUUGAAGCAAGACAAUAGCAAUGGGAAUAUAAAGGAGAGGAGACAUUUGAGUGAAAUUAAGGAAGCACAAUCUGCAGACUGUUUUCUUUUUUUUAAGAGUCAGGGUCUCCCUAUUUUGCCCAGGCUGGUCUCAAAGUCCUAGGCUCAAGCGACCCACCCACCUCAGCCUUCCAAAAUGCUGGAAUUACAGGGGUGAACUGCCUCACCAUGCCUCAGUCUGCAGAAUUUGAUGACUGAAUGUAUUUGGAGAGAGUCUGUGGCUUGGAUGACUGGGAGCUGUGAUUGGUUGAUUGAUUUUGAGGCGGAGUUUCACUCUUGUUGCCCAGGCUGAAGUGCAGUGGCACAACCUCUGCUCACUGCAACCGCUGCC